This is a long non-coding RNA of Mustela lutreola (European mink), 614 nucleotides long. RefSeq lists it as uncharacterized. Lineage: Eukaryota; Metazoa; Chordata; Mammalia; Carnivora; Mustelidae. The record is from RefSeq and is a predicted model, not a curated record. The transcript is spliced from 3 exons.
GAAGGGGUGGACAGCCCCAGAACCAAGUGACAGGUGUUCCCAUGAUCCCCAUAGCCAUGAAGUUGCUCUUUGGUGGUGGGGGGGGUCUCAAAAUGAGAUGCAAGUUGGCAUCAAACGUUUCUGGUUUGCUUUGUGGUUUGUAAAGUCAUCACACCCUGCGCUGUUGGAAGUUGGCAACAAUAUCUUUGAACAAAAACGGACAACAAAGCAGCUGUGAUGUUGAGGGAUGAAGCCCAUUGGGAGUCAGAACCACCAUCCAGUUCACUGCUGCUUAGUAAAUGAAUGAAGCCUUGCUGAAUGGAAACAGCUCCCGGGAAGCCACGUGGAGAAGAUGGAAAGAGCACCAGGCAUGUUAAGGUCACUAACUGAGAACACGGCUGAAGACAGAAGAAUGAGCGUAGUUAUAACCUUCAUAAGGACAGAGGAGACAAAGGGUAAUGCUAGCUGCUGUAAUGCCCAAACAUCAACAUUUCAGAAGUUUACCACCACGGAAGUUCAUUUCUCCCUCAUAAGAGUCCAAUGCUGGUGUUUCUGCUCGGUGAGUAUCUUAUUCUUCCUCUGGUGACUCAGGCCCAGGGCAUUCCUUCCAUCCCCAUUGCACUGCCCCACCAUCU